Hydra vulgaris (swiftwater hydra) is the source of this 695-nucleotide long non-coding RNA. RefSeq lists it as uncharacterized. Lineage: Eukaryota; Metazoa; Cnidaria; Hydrozoa; Anthoathecata; Hydridae. The record is from RefSeq and is a predicted model, not a curated record.
GUUUGUGAUUUAAUUUUUCCGUGGCUUAGUUUUUCCCAUUAUAUCGGUUUAUGGAAAAAGUAGACUUCAAAUCAACUUUUUGCCGAGAAAAAUCAAAUAGCAAAACAAGCAGGCAAUCGCAUUGCUACAAUUUUUGAAAAAUGAAAACAAGAGUUGGAAAAGUUGCUAGAGAAUUGUAAUUUUUUCGGAAACGAUAAUUUCGUUGUAAACAUUUAUUAGUCUAUAAUUAUGCCUGUAAUAUAUUAAAUUUUUUACGCAUAUAUUUUUAGUGGCAUACUAUGACGCAAAAUGAAAAUCAUUGAGAUAUUUAUUUACUUACAAUUGCAAUUUAAUGUCAGUUUUACUGCUAUUUUAAACUGUAUAAAUAUCCAAAUAAUGUUAACAUUAAACCUAAAGUACACUGACCAAUAAACAAUAUUGAAUAUUAAAAAUCUAAUUUAAUGAUGACCGAAUUGAACGUGGAUUUUUCAAGAAUGUCACAAUAUGUUCCAACAAACAAGAACUAGGAGGCUCAUUUAAUAGAAGAAGUGAGAAGGUUUCCGUGUUUAUGGGAUACAACAACUCGCGCAUAUAAGGAAACGCCUUUAAAAGUUGAAGCGUGGAGGCAGAUAUCUACUUUAUUAAAUGUAGACGAAAAAACUCUGACUUCAGCAUGGACAAAGCUGAGAGAAAAUUUUCGUAGAUGCCUAAACCGA